CAGGGCGUAGCUAUAAAACAAAGCACUCAGCUUACACCUGAGAGAUAUCUGCCCCACCCAGAUCGCCCUGA
RNAcentral lists this transfer RNA (71 nucleotides) under Halcyon smyrnensis. Its description in RNAcentral is "tRNA-Val". The record is from RNAcentral. Lineage: Eukaryota; Metazoa; Chordata; Aves; Coraciiformes; Alcedinidae.